UGAUUGUAUGAAAGGAGAGAAGGUCAGCACCCCAUUCAUGAAGAUGGAAGAGGCCCUAAUGGCCUGUACAACACACGUGGUUAAGGUGCUGCCACCUACUUCGUGGCAUCUAACCAUGUUCUACU
Small nuclear RNA from Apus apus (common swift), 125 nucleotides. NCBI's taxonomy places the organism in Eukaryota, Metazoa, Chordata, Aves, Apodiformes, Apodidae. The record is from RefSeq and is a predicted model, not a curated record.